GGUAAAUGUAGAGAGUGUCAAUCAAAGGCAGAGCUCAGAGCUGGGAAGAAAGCUCUAGAUGGCGGCUGUGCCUUGGAGAGCGCGCUGAGCCUCCUGCCUUUUUUCCCCCUCUCUCCUCCGCCACUUUUGCGCAACUUUGUGUAACUUUUGGGCGUCCUCAAGGGGCUCCUGCGGCCCCUGGUCUCUUGUGGAGGCCAGUGCUAGGGGGAUCGUGCGUUUUUCGGGCAGAAAAGCAGCUUUGGGGGGACUUUUUUUCCCCCUCUCCCUUCGCCUGGUUAGAAAGAAACAGCCCAGGUCGUUGUUUUUCCCAGCUUGGAAGCCAUGGCGUACCUCCAUUUUUGUGCGCUCUCCUAAUGAGCUUUUUCCUCCGGAUCUUCUUUUUUUCUCCUUUUUUUUUAAAUAUUCCUUUACGGCUUUAAUGAUUGCCGAUGGCAACUAAGCAAUUGCGGGAUCGUGUGGAUUAAUUUCGAAUGUGUUAUUUUUUAAAAGAAGGCGGAUUUUGUUUUUUUUCUUGCCUGCGUUGCGUUUGGAACGCUUCGGAAGCGAAUGUUUUCCCACGACUAGAAACCGGGUUGGGGCUGGCGUUGGAGCCUGGCUCAGUAAAUACCUGGGCACAGGACUUCAGCCCAAAUCCAGCCAUCCUUCUACCUUUCCCUUAAUACUUUAAGAAUUGAAAGAUGUUGAGAAAUACGGACAAAAGCCAAGGAGAGGAGGGUUCAGUGCACAGCCAUGCAUCGAGUCACUCAGCGUCUGAAGAGGGCUCGGGUUCCGACUCAGGGAGCCAGUCAGACAGCGAGCAAGGCAGUGAUCAUGGAAGUGAAACCAACAGCAGCUCCGAGUCUUCGGGAAGUCAAUCCGAAUCAGAGAGCGGGUCCACAGCAUCCAAGUCUCGGCAGACCCCUCCGGAAGCUAAGGAGAAACCAGCAUCCAAGAAAGAAAGGAUAGCUGAUGUCAAAAAAAUGUGGGAAGAGUAUCCCGAUGUUUAUGGGGUGAGACGAUCCAACCGUAGCAGACAGGAGCCUUCGCGUUUUACUAUAAAUGACGAGGUAAGGGUUGAGGAAGCCCAUAAAGAGCAAAAUGCUAUUGCUACUUCCACUAUUACUACUAUUGUAUCGUUGUUUCAUUUCAGAGCAGUGACCAAAUCCAUCCCAAAAAGGAGCAGCAAACCGCAACGGCCGAAGAGGCGGAGGAAAACCGAAUCAUCAGAGGAAGAGGAGGAGGAGGAGGAGGAUGAGACUCCCAAAAGGCAAACUAAGCGCCGAGCAGCCAAAAAUGUCAGUUACAAGGAAGACGAUGACUUUGAGACCGAUUCAGACGACUUGAUUGAGAUGACAGGUGAAGGGGCGGAGGAGCAGCAAAAUAACAGCGAAACCAUUGAGAAAGUGCUGGAGAGGAGAAUAGGCAGGAAAGGAGCCACUGGGGCCUCCACCACUGUCUACUCAAUGGAAGCCAACGGUGAUCCCUGUGCCGAUUUUGAUCCAGAAAAGGAGGAAGGGGAAGUGCAGUACUUGGUUAAAUGGAAAGGUUGGUCAUACAUCCACAGCACAUGGGAAAGUGAGGACUCCUUGCAGCAGCAGAAAGUGAAAGGCAUUAAGAAGCUGGAGAACUUCAAGAAGAAAGAAGAAGACAUCAACAGUUGGUUGGAAAAGGUCACCCCAGAAGACGUAGAGUAUUUCAACUGCCAACAGGAACUGGCAGCUGAGUUGAACAAACAGUACCAGAUUGUGGAAAGAGUGAUUGCCAGAUCCACUUCAGGGUUGACAGACUUUCACAACCGCAAGUCCUCCUCUAAUGAGCCAGAGUACCUUUGCAAGUGGAUGGGACUUCCCUACGCAGAAUGUAGCUGGGAAGAUGAAGCUCUGAUCAGCAAAAAAUUCCAGUACUGUAUUGAUAGCUUCAACAAUAGGAACAACUCCAAAGCCAUGCCUACUCGGGACUGCAAGGUGCUGAAGCAAAGGCCUCGUUUUGUGGCCUUGAAGAACCAACCUUCCUACAUUGGUGGGGAGAAUCUGGAACUCCGCGACUAUCAGCUGGAGGGCUUGAAUUGGUUGGCUCAUUCUUGGUGCAAGAACAACAGUGUCAUCCUGGCGGACGAGAUGGGCUUGGGGAAGACCAUCCAGACCAUUUCUUUCCUCUGCUACCUCUUCUAUCAGCACCAGCUCUAUGGCCCCUUUCUGAUUGUGGUGCCUUUGUCAACCCUAACCUCAUGGCAGAGGGAGUUUGAGAUCUGGGCCCCUGAGGUCAACGUGGUUGUGUACAUUGGAGAUCAGCUGAGCAGGAAUAUCCGUGAGUAUGAGUGGGUCCAUUCUCAGACCAAACGGUUGAAGUUCAACGUGCUGAUUACAACCUAUGAGAUCCUCCUGAAAGACAAGGCCGUUUUGGGAAGCAUCAACUGGGCCUUCCUAGGAGUGGAUGAAGCCCACCGCUUGAAGAAUGACGAUUCUUUGCUCUACAAGACACUGAUCGACUUCAAGUCCAACCACCGCCUGCUCAUCACUGGGACACCCCUUCAGAAUUCCCUGAAGGAACUGUGGUCCCUGCUGCAAUUCAUCAUGCCAGAGAAGUUCGAAUCCUGGGAAGACUUUGAAGAGGACCAUGGCAAAGGACGAGAGAACGGGUACCAGAGCCUGCAUAAGGUCCUGGAGCCCUUUCUCCUGCGCAGGGUGAAGAAGGACGUGGAAAAAUCCCUCCCAGCCAAAGUAGAGCAGAUCCUGAGGGUGGAGAUGUCUGCCCUCCAGAAGCAGUAUUACAAAUGGAUUUUAACAAGGAAUUACAAAGCCCUGUCCAAGGGAACACGUGGCAGCACUUCUGGCUUCCUGAACAUCGUGAUGGAGCUGAAGAAAUGUUGCAAUCACUGUUACCUGAUCAAACCUCCAGAAGAGAAUGAGAGGGAAAACAGCCAGGAGAGGCUGCAGUCUUUAAUCAGGAGCAGUGGGAAACUCAUCCUUCUGGACAAACUGCUCAGCAGGCUCCGUGCGAGGGGCAACCGAGUCCUCAUCUUCUCCCAGAUGGUGAGAAUGUUGGACAUCUUGGCGGAAUAUCUGACCAUCAAGCACUACCCUUUCCAGCGCCUGGACGGUUCUAUCAAAGGAGAAAUCCGGAAGCAGGCUCUGGAUCAUUUCAACGCCGAAGGCUCGGAGGACUUCUGCUUUCUACUCUCCACACGUGCUGGCGGCCUGGGGAUCAACUUGGCGUCGGCUGACACAGUGGUGAUCUUCGAUUCGGACUGGAACCCCCAGAAUGACCUACAGGCUCAGGCUCGGGCUCAUCGGAUUGGCCAAAAGAAACAAGUAAAUAUCUAUCGCUUGGUUACAAAGGGAACAGUGGAAGAGGAGAUUAUAGAAAGAGCAAAGAAGAAAAUGGUGCUGGACCAUCUUGUGAUACAGCGAAUGGACACCACAGGCCGGACAGUUUUGGACAACAGCUCUGAUAGAUCCAAGACAAACCCCUUCAACAAGGAGGAACUGACCGCCAUUUUGAAAUUUGGAGCCGAAGAACUUUUUAAAGAACCCGAAGGGGAAGAAUCUGAACCACAAGAAAUGGACAUUGAGGAAAUCUUACGCCUGGCUGAGACACGAGAGAAUGAACCAUCCACAAGUGCAACAGACGAACUGCUUUCACAAUUUAAAGUAGCAAACUUUGCUACAACAGAAGAGGAAGAAGCCGAGGCGGAAGAGAAAUCUCAGAAGGAGUGGGAAAGCAUCAUUCCUGAGGAACAAAGGAAGAAAGUGGAAGAAGAGGAGCGGCAGAAAGAACUUGAGGAGAUAUACAUGCUGCCCAGGAUUCGCAGCUCAGCCAAAAAGGCUCAGGCCAAUGACAGCGAAUCAGAUGUUGAAAUAAAGAGGAAGCUCCAGAGGUCUUCGGGCUCAGAUACCGAGACAGAGGACUCUGAUGAUGACAAAAGGCCCAAACGCAGAGGACGCCCUCGCAGUGUUCGGAAGGACACAGUGGAAGGCUUUACAGACCCUGAAAUCAGAAGAUUUAUCAAGGCAUACAAGAAGUUUGCUGUUCCUUUGGAACGACUGGAAUGCCUCGCUCGGGAUGCUGAACUGGUAGAGAAAUCGGUAGCUGAUCUGAAACGUUUGGGAGAACUUCUCCAUAACAGUUGUGCUUCAGCCAUGCAGGAGUACGAAGAGCAUCUGAAGGAGAACCCAACUGAAAGUAAAGGACCAGGGAAGAGAAAGGGGCCCACAAUUAAGAUCUCUGGAGUCCAGGUGAAUGUGAAAGCAAUUAUUCAACAUGAGGAGGAGUUUGCGAUGCUCCAUCAGACCAUUCCCAGUGACCCAGUGGAGAGGGCAAGGUUUCGUCUGAACUCCCGUGUCAAAUCUGCCCAUUUUGAUGUAGACUGGGGAGUGGAAGAGGAUUCUUCCUUGCUGCGGGGGAUUUAUGAGCAUGGAUGUGGGAACUGGGAGCUCAUCAAGUCAGACCCAGAACUGAACCUCACUGAAAAGAUUUUACCAGCUGAGACAGAUAAAAAGCCACAGGGGAAGCAGCUCCAGGCGCGAGUAGAUUAUCUGAUGAAGCUUAUCAAAAGAGACAUGAAGAGGAAAGAGAACCCGAACAAGACAGAGGAGGUCAGUUCCGUAACCAAGGCCAAAGUUGUAAAGCCCCGAAUCCGGAAAGAAAACAAACCCCCCAAAAUCAAGGAGGAGCCAGGAAACGAAUCCUCUUCUCCGCAGCCUCCAGACAACCAGUCAGUAGAAGGACAGAAGAAGGUAAGCAUGAGCACUGAGGACCCGGGACUUCCUGGUAGAGAAAAUGGGAUGCUUUCUCCUCUUCUCUUUUCACAGCCCAAAGGCGCCGAGGCCAAACCCGGAAACCAAGGGAAGAAACUGCUGGGUCAGGGUCCCGUCCACAUUACGGCAGGAAGUGACCCUGUCCCCAUUGAAGAAGAGGAAGAGGAUGAGUUAGACCAUGCAACCUUCACCAUUUGCAAAGAGCUGAUGAGGCCAGUUAAGAAGUCCCUGAAGCAGCUGGAUAAGCCAGAAAGAGGACUUACAGACCACGACCAGCUGGAGCAAACACGGAGUUGCCUACUCAAGAUCGGAGACCACAUUGCUGAAUGUUUGAAAAUCCACACUGAACAGGAAGUCUUUAACGUAUGGAGAAGGAAUCUAUGGGUAUUUGUCUCCAAGUUUACUGAAUUUAAUGCCAAGAAAUUACAUAAGAUAUAUAAGAUGGCUAACAAAAAGCGAUCCCGGGAACAGGAGGAACAAAAAAAGAAGGAAGAGGCAACGAGUGGCAAGCGGCUUCGUCCAGAAGCUCCUGGGACCAGUCGAGAUAUUCCGAUGUCUCCUGUCCCCCAUAGCCCUCAUGGUCAAAAACUGCAGCAGCCAUCUCCUCACCCUUCCCAGAUGCAUGGACAUCCACGAGAGAACUACCACCAGCCAAAUAGAAGGCAUUUCAGCCACCCAGAACGAAGCGAAUGGCAGAGGGAUCGCAAAUUUAACUACAGUGGCAAUUCCAAUACGAAUUGGGGCAGAAACCGUUAUCAUGCAUAUGAGCCGCGCUGGCACAAGGAUCACCAUUAUGCGGAUCGCCAGGCGCGCAGAGAACAGUAUCGGAGCUCAGGAAACUACCAGCCCAGCAACCUGUCUCGUAAACGCCCCUACGAUCAGUACAACAGUGAACGCAAUUACCGCGGACAACCGGACUACAGAUACUGUCAUGAAGCCAAGAGACGAAGAUUAGAUGGAUUCCGGCCCCAGAAUUACCAACAAGAUUAUCGGAGGAUGUCUGACUAUAGACCUCCCUUGAGUUAUCACGGGCAAGGGCCAUCCGACCAUUACAGGCCUUUCCACCAAGAUAAAUCAGCCGAUUAUAAGCAACUCCUUCCCCCUCCUCACUCCCAGGUCCCUGACCCUCGCUCUCCAGCUUCUCAGAAAUCUCCACUUGGUGCCAAGUCUCCCAUUCAGCAUCGCUCACCUCUGGAUAGGCCCUUAGAUCAGAAGAACAAUCCAGAUUAUAACUGGAGUGGUCGGAAAACCUAGAGGCCCAGAAUCAGAGGCCAACGGAAAGAGCUAGUCCGGCCCAAGGAAACACCAGUUAUAGGGCCAUCAAUGCUGGAACCAGAAAGCCUGAAUACAGUGCUGUAGAGCUUGGGGCUGUAAGAAUUGGAAGGGGGUCAGAAAAACUGGAUCCACCGGGGAGCCUGAACUUUAGCUCCAAAUUUGCCUUCCAUCAGGAUACUGGCUGGGUGUUGGGAGGGGUCUUCCCUGCACCAAGAGAUCUGUAGAGAACAAGGUCAGGUCUACCACCUACGUUUUGGAACGAAGAUUUUGGGUUUGUAUCCAUAAUGCCAACUUGAAUUCUGGACAUUUCACAGAAUGGACAGACAGGCUGCAAAGGGUACAGACGGAGGCAAAAGCUAUAUGGUUUUGGAGUUCAGGUUCAAUUUGCUGCCGGAAGGGGGUGAUAAGGAAGACCACGAUAGCUACAGCUGUUGAAUAAAACAUUGGCGUCAGGGAGGGCA
This 6472-nucleotide long non-coding RNA is filed under the name Pseudonaja textilis. Its description in RNAcentral is "lncRNA (ENSPTXG00000003944.1)". Lineage: Eukaryota; Metazoa; Chordata; Lepidosauria; Squamata; Elapidae. The record is from RNAcentral.